This is a long non-coding RNA of Ornithorhynchus anatinus (platypus), 202 nucleotides long. RefSeq lists it as uncharacterized. The transcript is spliced from 2 exons. NCBI's taxonomy places the organism in Eukaryota, Metazoa, Chordata, Mammalia, Monotremata, Ornithorhynchidae. The record is from RefSeq and is a predicted model, not a curated record.
GUGUAAGAUUCUAGGGGAAAAGAUUAGCCUUACCUUCAGACUCUGAAAUUGCCCCUCCCACCUUGUAAAUGUAUGUCAAGCUAUAUUGGUCGACCCUGGAGAAAACUGUGUUCCGUGGUUAUGAAGCUCACAAGGCAAUUCAAAUGGUUGUCGUUUGACUUGAAAGCUGACAUUCAAAUUAAAAUCAAACCCUUUUGCUGUA